Molecule: ribosomal RNA, 468 nt
Filed under: uncultured bacterium
Lineage: Bacteria
Description: partial 16S ribosomal RNA
Rfam family: Bacterial small subunit ribosomal RNA
Source: RNAcentral
GACGAACGCUGGCGGCGUGCUUAACACAUGCAAGUCGAACGGAAAGGCCCUGCUUUUGUGGGGUGCUCGAGUGGCGAACGGGUGAGUAACACGUGAGUAACCUGCCCUUGACUUUGGGAUAACUUCAGGAAACUGGGGCUAAUACCGGAUAGGAGCUCCUGCUGCAUGGUGGGGGUUGGAAAGUUUCGGCGGUUGGGGAUGGACUCGCGGCUUAUCAGCUUGUUGGUGGGGUAGUGGUUUACCAAGGCUUUGACGGGUAGCCGGCCUGAGAGGGUGACCGGCCACAUUGGGACUGAGAUACGGCCCAGACACCUACGGGAGGCAGCAGUGGGGAAUAUUGCACAAUGGGCGGAAGCCUGAUGCAGCAACGCCGCGUGCGGGAUGACGGCCUUCGGGUUGUAAACCGCUUUCGCCUGUGACGAAGCGUGAGUGACGGUAAUGGGUAAAGAAGCACCGGCUAACUACGUG